AACCUCCGCAAUGUGAGAAAUCGCGACGGGGGGAUCCCAAGUGCCAUUCUUAACGGGAUGGCUUUUCAUUAGUGUAAAGAGCUUUUGGAAUAAGAGCUGGGCAAGACCGGUGCCAGCCGCCGCGGUAACACCGGCAGCUCUAGUGGUAGCAAUUUUUAUUGGGCCUAAAGCGUCCGUAGCCGGUUUAAUAAGUCUCUGGUGAAAUCCUGUAGCUUAACUGUGGGAAUUGCUGGAGAUACUAUUAGACUUGAGACCGGGAGAGGUUAGAGGUACUCCCAGGGUGGAGGUGAAAUUCUGUAAUCCUGGGAGGACCGCCUGUUGCGAAGGCGUCUAACUGGAACGGUUCUGACGGUGAGGGACGAAAGUUAGGGGCGCGAGCCGGAUUAGAUACCCGGGUAGUCCUAACUGUAAACGAUGCGGACUUGGUGUUGGGGUGGCUUUGAGCUGUCUCAGUGCCGAAGGGAAGCUGUUAAGUCCGCCGCCUGGGAAGUACGGUCGCAAGACUGAAACUUAAAGGAAUU
RNAcentral lists this ribosomal RNA (521 nucleotides) under uncultured bacterium. RNAcentral's name for it is "bacterial SSU rRNA". It matches the Rfam family "Archaeal small subunit ribosomal RNA", at positions 345 to 866 of the family's 1478-position model. The record is from RNAcentral.